AUCAUUUAACUUUGGCAUGCUAAAAAAGAAAAGGAUGUGUUAGAAUUGACUUGCGUCAUGCAAACAUCGAAAAUAACGACAUCCUUGUUCAAAGAUGAAAUCAUCGUGAAUAACGGUGUGCAUCCAGUGUCAGGACUACUCAAUGCAACGCGGUACCCAGUUGCAGAAAUGUAUAUAAAAAUUGCCUCGCGAAGGACAUGAGUCCCUGUUCGGCCUGUUGGUCAUGAAGGACAAUAAGUAUGACACACACGUUUGUAUGUUCUGUUUUUUGUUACUUUGAAAUAUGCUGCUGUUGGCCGGGGCACAUAUAGGGUUGUGGUGCUGCUCCCUCAGCUAAGAAGAGUGUCAUUGACAUGUCCCGAGCGUUCUCGAAGACAAGCUGGAAUAAUAUAGCCCAGACUUGGUGUUAGUAUUCACCUUGUGCUUGCUGUUAGGGUCCAUUGCUUUGAGUUCCCUUGGGAAUAUUCGAUGUGCCUUUUUGUUUUUGUAAUAUUUAUGGGUUUAUUAUAUGUCUGUGUGAAUCAACAAUUGGCUAUUUGGUGUCCAGUUUGACAAGAUCACAUCUGUGAUCAAUAUUUCAGUUUUGACAAAAUCACCACUGUCUGUGACAAUUAUAUCACCACUGUCACAUUGUCAGUGAUAACGAAAUGUUCUAUAAAUCGCUAUUGUAUAUGAGUCAGCAACGACUCAUCAUUUAAAGGAAGGGCUGUAACUAUUUGUAAAAUAUCUAAAUAGAAAAAUAGAUAGAAAAAUAUCUAAAUGAAAUUGCUAUUCGCUGAAAAUGUAAAAAUAACGUUUUUCGGCUAAAUUUAGUCAACGGUUAAAAUUGUGUGUUUGGAAGUAGUGAAAAACGUUCUGUCUCUAAACACACCCCUUGUCUACCCCGAUAUUAAUGAAUUACUGAUGUCCAAUGUUCCUAGCAAUAUCGGCCACCAUCAUAACGCUAGUAUAGUAAAGAGUGGUGAGUUAGCAUUGUAGACUUGCCUUAUGCCUGCUUGCCACACCGAAGAUCUGGGUUCGCAUCCAAACGAGUACAAAGUGUGAAACCCAUUCCUAUGUCAUAUGGUUAUUUGGUGUUAAAAUCGCUGUAGAUCAACAUUAGCGGUCACUCGCCUUUCCGUUCACCAUCACAAGCCGGAAGUGGAGGUGGUCUUGACUGGUUUUGUCGGCUGGUUGCGUCUUUGUCAGUGAUCAAUGUACAUACCUUCACGCAUCCCACGUUUUCGUGAUGAACAAUAUACCUCCGUUUCGACGUCAAGUGCAUGGAAGGUGUAGUAUAGACUAGAUGAGUGUUGGCGUUGCUCCCACUUACACCAUCACAUGUUCUAAUGUAUGAAGUAUUUGUAAAAAUGAACUAUUUCAGAUAAAUAUUAUACUUUUCCAAA
Molecule: long non-coding RNA, 1385 nt
Organism: Haliotis rubra (blacklip abalone)
Lineage: Eukaryota; Metazoa; Mollusca; Gastropoda; Lepetellida; Haliotidae
Exons: 2
Source: RefSeq, a predicted model, not a curated record